Molecule: long non-coding RNA, 865 nt
Organism: Oncorhynchus keta (chum salmon)
Lineage: Eukaryota; Metazoa; Chordata; Actinopteri; Salmoniformes; Salmonidae
Exons: 3
Source: RefSeq, a predicted model, not a curated record
AUCGACUUGACACUGACGGGAGGAGAUGAGUAAUGGAAUUCUACUUCUACCAUAUUAACUGCUUAAAAAAGAACGUUAGCAGAAUGCUAAAAGAUGCAUGAAGCAUGGAUAUGCUCUCAUCAUCCUCUUGGUUGUCCUCUUUCUGAACAAAGUUGAUCAGAUAACAGCUUUAUGAUUGCAGUUCUACACGAUGCUCUGUUAUCACAUAACGUCCUUCAAACUCUGAGUAGGACCUAUGCCCUAGGACCAUGCCUCAGGACUACCUGGCCUGAUGACUCCUUGUUGUCCCCAGUCCACCUGGUCAUGCUGCUGCUCCAGUUUCAACUGUUCUGCCUGCGGCUAUGGAACCCCGACCUGUUCACUGGACGUGCUACCUUGUCCCGGACCUGCUGUUUUGGACCCUCUCUCUACCGCACCUGCUGUCAGUCUCCAACUGACAUUUACUCCUGAGGUGCUGACCUGUUGCACCCUCUACAACCACUGUGAUUAUUAUUAUCUGACCUUGCAGGUCAUUUAUGAACGUUUGAGCAUCUUGGCCAUGUUCUGUUAUAAUCUCCACCCGGCACGGCCAGAAGAGGACUGGCCACCCCUCAGAGCCUGGUUCCUGUCUAGGUUUCUUCCUAGGUUAUGGCCAUUCUAGGGAGUUUUUCUGAGCCAACGUACAUCUAGAUCUACAUUGCUUGUUUGGGGUUUUAGGCUGGGUUUCUAUACAGCACUUUGUGACAUCGGCUGAUGUAAAACUGGCUUUAUAAAUACAUUUGAUUGAUUUAUUGAUUUAACUUUUUUGGUUACUACAUGAUUCCAUAUGUCUUCACUAUUAUUUUACAAUGCAGAAAAUAGUAAAAAAUAAAGAAAAACCCUUGAA